CCUACGGGAGGCAGCAGUGGGGAAUAUUGGACAAUGGGCGAAAGCCUGAUCCAGCAAUGCCGCGUGAGUGAUGAAGGCCUUCGGGUCGUAAAGCUCUUUUACCAGGGAUGAUAAUGACAGUACCUGGAGAAUAAGCUCCGGCUAACUCCGUGCCAGCAGCCGCGGUAAUACGGAGGGAGCUAGCGUUGUUCGGAAUUACUGGGCGUAAAGAGUACGUAGGCGGUUAUUCAAGUCAGAGGUGAAAGCCCGGGGCUCAACCCCGGAACUGCCUUUGAAACUAGAUAACUAGAGUCUUGGAGAGGUUAGUGGAAUUCCGAGUGUAGAGGUGAAAUUCGUAGAUAUUCGGAAGAACACCAGUGGCGAAGGCGACUAACUGGACAAGUACUGACGCUGAGGUACGAAAGCGUGGGGAGCAAACAGGAUUAGAUACCCUGGUAGUCCACGCCGUAAACGAUGAUAACUAGUUGUUCGGUCACUUGGUGACUGAGUGACGCAGCUAACGCAUUAAGUUAUCCGCCUGGGGAGUACGGUCGCAAGNUUAAAACNAAAG
This 550-nucleotide ribosomal RNA is filed under the name uncultured bacterium. Its description in RNAcentral is "bacterial SSU rRNA". It matches the Rfam family "Bacterial small subunit ribosomal RNA", at positions 338 to 906 of the family's 1533-position model. The record is from RNAcentral.